CCCUUAUGAACAGUGUUGGCAGUUGUGCUGGAUGCAAGCUUCACGAAAACAUAAUCACCAUGUACAAGUGAAGGCCUUCUCUCAGCAAGCCCCGGGACCUCCAAAGNNNNNNNNNNGCCCCUUUCCUUCUCAUGCCGAUAAACUCCAUGUCAUGACACCUCAUUUCUUUCUCCAAAUGUAGUUCUUCCAUUAUGAGCAAUGCACUGAAAAAAGAAGCAUAGUUCUUCCUAUUCAAACCUUCCAUAAGAACAUCAGGAACUCGCUUAUUCUCCAGCAACUCUCUUGCAUCCCUUGGGAUUGGAAAUUCAGGAAGCUUAAAUUUAAUUCCUCGGACCAUUGCCUUGACAGGAUGAG
Molecule: unclassified non-coding RNA, 354 nt
Filed under: Hevea brasiliensis (rubber tree)
Lineage: Eukaryota; Viridiplantae; Streptophyta; Magnoliopsida; Malpighiales; Euphorbiaceae
Source: RNAcentral